GCGUGGCACCAGGCGUUCAAGCAGAUCUGCCUUGGCUGUUUGUGGCGAUUGCUCAACAGGGUGAAUUAAACAAGCACCUUUGCAUGAUCAUUUCUGCCUUUCAGCAUCAUGCUCUGCAGAGCUACUCUCCAGAAUGACCAACUCUAUAGGAUUUUAUAAAGAGAAGAUUUAAAAGAAAGAAUAAAAGGGAAAGGAUUCUUGACGUCCCAGUUUAGGAAACUCUCUAAAAAGAGCAGUAUGAGUACUAUGAGAAAUGAGCCAAUUCUAAUCUUCCCUACAUGCAGAAGGCACUGUCACAGAUGGUGAGCACACAGCCACAUAAGGCUAUGACCCUUCUCUACUCAUCCCCUCUUUGUGUGGUUGUACCUUGAGGAAUCAGAAGCUCAGCUGCUGAGCACAAAACAAGAUAAUCAAAGAUGGUGGAAGAAGUCAAUUGGAUGUCUCCUCCCUAAUGGGGUUUCCAGAUCUGAAGCAGUGUCAAGCUGAUAGAAGAUUGAAUGAGUGGCCUAGAGGUACAGCAGUCAUCUUGUGACCAAGAAGAAGAAAAUCAAAUGCUAAAGAUGGUAGAGCAAAAAGAGAGAAGAUAUUUGGGUCAGCCCUGGAAUACCUAUCAUAUUCUCCUUGCUAGAUGGGAAAAGUCAGUCCUUUAUAAUUUUCAUGUACAGGUAUACAAGCUCCUCUGACUCCAGCAGGUGUUGAAUUGAAAUCAAUCACAUGUUGUUGCUACUGAAAUGAGACUUAAAUAUCAAGUCAUUAAGUUUGUCACGAUGCAGUUGGUGAAACAGGCCCAGAAAAAGUUAAGUGAGUUUUCUAACAGGAAACAACCCAGAGAGUCAAAGCUGGAAUCCAAACCUCUUGAUUCUCAGUUCAGCACUAUUUCCACUGUUCCUGCUGCCACACUAAGUAAAGGAAUAAAAUGCUUAUUGGUGGCCUACUCUGUGUUAGGUACCGUACUGGAUGAUAUCAGAGGGCAGAACUGUAUAAGACCACACUCCUUUCUCAUAAAGGGCAUACAAUCUAGAUCAAGAGAUAAAACUCCAUCAGACUAUAAAAUAUACAAAUAGUUUUAAAAUACAGCUUGAGAAAUUAGUCCCAUUACAUUUUGUACCACAAUAGUAUAAGCCCA
Molecule: long non-coding RNA, 1126 nt
Organism: Homo sapiens (human)
Lineage: Eukaryota; Metazoa; Chordata; Mammalia; Primates; Hominidae
Source: Ensembl